GGCAACUGCCCGGAGUCGUAAAUAAAACCCUGGCUCAUUUUCGGUCUCUGUUAGUGGGCUUCCGUAGUGGGGAAUCGCUUAUGUUUAUUAGUUUAAACCGAGGCCAGUCUCAGAUUACACAAAAGGUGCCUGGAUUGUGGGUGUGUGGAUGUGGUUGUGGGCCAAGUGAAAAGCUGAAUGAAAGAAACAAGAAAGCAGAGCUCAUAUCAUGCAUCAGACUUUAAUAUUAGACGUGGACGUGUGCUCGAGCAUAGGGAACAGAACUGAAGGAACUGAAAGAAGUGAAGGAUAAAGGACGCCGCCAUCGCAAGGAGUUACCGCUUUGGGCAUCGCAAUCUGCAGUAAUUUAUGCAUUCUCUCAAAUUAAUAUUUCUAAUGGAAUUUGAAGUUUGCAUUUUAUUCAAAAGAAAACUGCUGCACUCAGAACUCGUGAUUGUGCUAAUUUUUCAAGAGGGUUGCUCAUUGGGUAUGCGGCAAUAAAAGGUGAAAUUUAUAAGUAUACUUCCCGGUUUUAAUUAAGAUUUUUCUUUUAUGAACUCUUAAAUAAGGUAAAAGAUACACAGUUCAGUUAGUUCCGUUCAUUAUGAAAUUAUAAUAAAGUUCAGCUGGUACUCUUUACUGAUAA
Molecule: long non-coding RNA, 625 nt
Organism: Drosophila yakuba
Lineage: Eukaryota; Metazoa; Arthropoda; Insecta; Diptera; Drosophilidae
Exons: 2
Source: RefSeq, a predicted model, not a curated record